This 253-nucleotide ribosomal RNA is filed under the name uncultured bacterium. Its description in RNAcentral is "partial 16S ribosomal RNA". It matches the Rfam family "Bacterial small subunit ribosomal RNA", at positions 524 to 776 of the family's 1533-position model. The record is from RNAcentral.
UACGUAGGGUGCAAGCGUUGUCCGGAAUUAUUGGGCGUAAAGAGCUCGUAGGCGGUCUGUCGCGUCUGCUGUGAAAACUCAGGGCUUAACCCUGAGCUUGCAGUGGGUACGGGCAGACUAGAGUGCGGUAGGGGAGACUGGAAUUCCUGGUGUAGCGGUGAAAUGCGCAGAUAUCAGGAGGAACACCGGUGGCGAAGGCGGGUCUCUGGGCAACAACUGACGCUGAGGAGCGAAAGCGUGGGGAGCGAACGGG